GGUCGCAAUCGGGGGUGCCCAAAAUUACGGGCUGAGAUCAUACCCUUUGAACCUGAUCCGGGUAGUGCCGGCGAAGGGAUUUCAGAGUAUUUUC
This 94-nucleotide non-coding RNA is filed under the name Salinivirga cyanobacteriivorans. Its description in RNAcentral is "TPP sequence". It matches the Rfam family "TPP riboswitch aptamer (THI element)". From Rfam's summary of the family: Vitamin B(1) in its active form thiamin pyrophosphate (TPP) is an essential coenzyme that is synthesised by coupling of pyrimidine and thiazole moieties in bacteria. The previously detected thiamin-regulatory element, thi box was extended, resulting in a new, highly conserved RNA secondary structure, the THI element, which is widely distributed in eubacteria and also occurs in some archaea. Analysis of operon structures identified a large number of new candidate thiamin-regulated genes, mostly transporters, in various prokaryotic organisms. The record is from Rfam by way of RNAcentral. Lineage: Bacteria; Pseudomonadati; Bacteroidota; Bacteroidia; Bacteroidales; Salinivirgaceae.